UUAGGUCGGGAACUCAAAGGAGACUGCCAGUGAUAAACUGGAGGAAGGUGGGGAUGACGUCAAGUCAUCAUGGCCCUUACGACCAGGGCUACACACGUGCUACAAUGGCGCAUACAAAGAGAAGCGACCUCGCGAGAGCAAGCGGACCUCAUAAAGUGCGUCGUAGUCCGGAUUGGAGUCUGCAACUCGACUCCAUGAAGUCGGAAUCGCUAGUAAUCGUGGAUCAGAAUGCCACGGUGAAUACGUUCCCGGGCCUUGUACACACCGCCCGUCACACCAUGGGAGUGGGUUGCAAAAGAAGU
RNAcentral lists this ribosomal RNA (302 nucleotides) under Salmonella enterica subsp. enterica serovar Virchow. RNAcentral's name for it is "bacterial SSU rRNA". It matches the Rfam family "Bacterial small subunit ribosomal RNA", at positions 1126 to 1427 of the family's 1533-position model. Lineage: Bacteria; Pseudomonadati; Pseudomonadota; Gammaproteobacteria; Enterobacterales; Enterobacteriaceae. The record is from RNAcentral.